Molecule: long non-coding RNA, 1233 nt
Organism: Camellia sinensis
Lineage: Eukaryota; Viridiplantae; Streptophyta; Magnoliopsida; Ericales; Theaceae
Source: RefSeq, a predicted model, not a curated record
CUCAAUUCAACACUCUUUUAAAAAUUUAUAACCAAACAAAAUUUUUACAUUUAAAUCAUAAUUACAUAACUCACAAACUUAAAAUAUAAUUUAUACCCUCAAAUCAUAUUUAUAAAACUUUACGAAAUGCAGUUUGAUUCUCACCCAUUUGUUCUCUCACUCUCAUUUCUGCUCUCCAUCUAGAAGCUUCUCUCGCUCUCACCCAUCCCCUUCAUUCUCCCUCUCUCUCUCUCUCUCUCCCCUUCUUCUUCGUUUCUUUUCCCUCACCGAUGGUGUGUUCUAUAUUGAAGAUGAAAACCCUAAUCUUCAAUGAGCAUCACAAAGCCCUCUUCGGUUUCAUCUUGUCCAACCCUCUGUUCUUUCUCCCUCUAACACUAACCCUAACCCUAACCCUAACCCUUGAAAUCAUUUCAGGAAGAAGAUGAAACCCUUGAAACCCCAUCAACCAUCACUCAUCCAAAUCGGCUUUCUGAAGAAGGUGAAGACCAAGAAGAUGAAGUCGAAGCUUUAGAGUACUAAAAUCGUCUGAAAUCCAUCAACCAUCUUCAAAUCCAGGUUAAUGCACCUUCAUGGCAACCAACAUGGAAUAUGCAAAGAGAAAAAUUGUGAUACUUACCUUAUGGCCUUUUAUUUUUGGAAAAUGUGGAGAUGAUUAUUUCUUUGUGUCAUUACCACGAAAUAAAAAUAAAAAAUAAAAAAAGAGAGAGAAAAAAAUAUAAAACUGAAUAGUUUAUUUUUAAAAAUAUGUUUAUUCAUUUUUUUGACGACAAAUGUGAUAAAUUAAAAAAGUUACGAUUAUUAAAUAGAUUUAAUUUUUUUCAUGGAUAAUAUACAUAGAUGACUUUACAAAACGGGGCUCGUUGUCCCAAAUAUGAGGGUCAAAUUCAAAAUUUGGGCGUAGUCUAAACUCUUAAAUCAAUUAUUUUUUAUUAUUUAUUUAUUUAUUUAUUUUGUGCGCUCUUACCAUUUUUUAUUUUAUUUUUAUUUUUUUUAUCCUUUUAUCAUUGUAAUCAUCCAAAUAAUUGAUGAGAGAUUUUUUACUUCAUUUUUUUUUUAAUCGCCAAACCCUGUAAUUCAAACGGUUAGAGUUGCAUGUCUACUGGAGUAUUAUUUUUGUUUGAUCAACAAAGAUAAAUUUAUUGAUGUAAGACAAACACAUUAUACAAAAAAAAUGGGUGUAAGUCUGAAAUUUAAAUUUUUGAACAGUUUGAUAAAUUUAAAAAAAAAAAAAAA